RNAcentral lists this ribosomal RNA (620 nucleotides) under uncultured Verrucomicrobiota bacterium. Its description in RNAcentral is "bacterial SSU rRNA". It matches the Rfam family "Bacterial small subunit ribosomal RNA", at positions 77 to 680 of the family's 1533-position model. The record is from RNAcentral. Lineage: Bacteria; Pseudomonadati; Verrucomicrobiota.
UAGCAAUACGAUGGAAAGUUUAGUGGCGAACGGGUGCUUAACACGUGGGCAACCUGCCAAGAAGUGGGGGAUAGCUCGCCGAAAGGCGAAUUAAUACCGCAUGUGAUUAGAGAGGACAUCCUUUCGAAAUUAAAGUCGGGGCAACCUGACGCUUUUUGUGGGGCCCGCGGCCUAUCAGCUAGUUGGUGAGGUAACGGCUCACCAAGGCUUUGACGGGUAGCUGGUCUGAGAGGACGACCAGCCACACUGGGACUGAGACACGGCCCAGACACCUACGGGUGGCAGCAGUCGAGAAUUUUUGACAAUGGGGGAAACCCUGAUCGAGCGACGCCGCGUGGAGGAUGAAGGUCUUCGGAUUGUAAACUCCUGUCAUUGGGGAACAAGGUGCAUACGUUAACUGCGUGUGUAUUGAUAGUACCCGAAGAGGAAGAGACGGCUAACUCUGUGCCAGCAGCCGCGGUAAUACAGAGGUCUCAAGCGUUGUUCGGAUUCAUUGGGCGUAAAGGGUGCGUAGGCGGCGCGGUAAGUCGGGUGUGAAAUCUCGGAGCUUAACUCCGAAACUGCAUUCGAUACUGCCGUGCUUGAGGACUGGAGAGGAGACUGGAAUUCACGGUGUAGCA